GUGAAAAGGACCCCGGGAGGGGAGUGAAAGAGAACCUGAAACCCUGUGUUUACAAUCUGUGGAAGGUCUUUAUAUGACCAACCGCGUACUUUUUGUAGAACGGUCCGGCGAGUUACGCGUACUGGCAAGGUUAAGUGCUUAAGGCACGGAGCCGAAGCGACAGCGAGUCUUAACUGGGCGAUGAGUCAGUACGAGUAGACCCGAAACCGGGUGAUCUAUCCAUGUCCAGGAUGAAGAUGCCGUAAAAGGCAUUGGAGGUCCGAAGCCACAUCCGUUGAAAAGGGUGGGCAUGAGGUGUGGAUAGGGGAGAAAUUCCAAUCGAACCCGGAGAUAGCUGGUUCUCCUCGAAAUAGCUUUAGGGCUAGCCUCGUUUUAGUCUUAUGGAGGUAGAGCACUGAAUUUCCGCGGGGGCGUCAAAGCUUACCAAAGAAUAUCAAACUCCGAAUGCCAUGUAGAUGAUGAACGGGAGUCAGACUGCACGAGAUAAGUUGGGCGGUCAAAAGGGAAAGAGCCCAGACCACCGGCUAAGGUCCCAAAGUGUGUGUUAAGUGGAAAAGGAUGUGGGAAUUCGAAGACAACUAGGAUGUUGGCUCAGAAGCAGCCAUACAUUCAAAGAGUGCGUAACAGCUCACUAGUCGAGAGUCCCUGCGCCGAAAAUGUCCGGGGCUGAAACACAACACCGAAGCCGUGGACUCCGUAAGGAGUGGUAGAGGAGCAUUCUUAAAACCGACGAAGCUGUACCGGUAAGGAGCAGUGGAGGGAUAAGAAGAGAGAAUGCCGGAAUGAGUAGCGAGAGGAAGGUGGGAAUCCUUCCGGCCGAAUAUCUAAGGUUUCCAGAGUAAAGCUGAUCUGCUCUGGGUAAGUCGGGGCCUAAGGAGAGGUCGCAAGACGUAUCCGAUGGACAACAGGUUUAGAUUCCUGUACCGCAUAUAAACAGAACUGUGGGGACGCAUGUGGAAAGCAUAAGCCGGGAAUGGAAAGACCGGUACAAGCGAGGUAGGUGUGUGACAGGCAAAUCCGUCAUAUAAGCCGAAGACGUGAUGUGGAGCGAAAUUAAGUAGUGAAGUAUGUGAGCCAUGUGCCGAGAAAAGCCGCUAUUGUUUUAUAUGUGCCCGUACCGUAAACCGACACAGGUGGAUGAGGAGAGAAUCCUAAGGCCGACGGAAGAAGCAUUGUUAAGGAAUUCGGCAAAAUGACCCCGUAACUUCGGGAGAAGGGGUGCCCACUGAAUGGUGGGCCGCAGAGAAUAGGCUCAAGCAACUGUUUAGCAAAAACACAGGUCUAUGCGAAACCGAAAGGUGAGGUAUAUGGGCUGACGCCUGCCCGGUGCUGGAAGGUUAAGAGGAGAGGUUAGCGCAAGCGAAGCUUUGAAUUUAAGCCCCAGUAAACGGCGGCCGUAACUAUAACGGUCCUAAGGUAGCGAAAUUCCUUGUCGGGUAAGUUCCGACCCGCACGAAAGGCGUAAUGAUUUGAGCACUGUCUCGACAAUGCAUCCGGUGAAAUUGAAGUACCAGUGAAGAUGCUGGUUACCCGCGCCAGGACGGAAAGACCCCAUGGAGCUUUACUCCAGUUUGAUACUGGGAUUCGGUACUGCACGUACAGGAUAGGUGGGAGACUGAGAACUAUGGACGCCAGUCUGUAGGGAGUCGCUGUUGGGAUACCACCCCUGUAGUACUGGGUUUCUAACCAGCUGCCGUGAACCGGCAGUGGGACAAUGUCAGGCGGGGAGUUUGACUGGGGCGGUCGCCUCCGAAAGGGUAUCGGAGGCGCUCAAAGGUUCCCUCAGAAUGGUCGGAAACCAUUUGAAGAGUGCAAAGGCAGAAGGGAGCUUGACUGCGACACCGACGGGUGGAGCAGGU
This 1859-nucleotide ribosomal RNA is filed under the name metagenome. RNAcentral's name for it is "bacterial LSU rRNA". It matches the Rfam family "Bacterial large subunit ribosomal RNA", at positions 514 to 2398 of the family's 2925-position model. The record is from RNAcentral.